GGAUGUGAGGGCAAUCUGGUUGCAACAUCAGUCACCCCAUCGAUUGCCAGGGUUGACUUGGCUGGCGAGGCGGGUGUCCGCCCUCACCGCUCUGUGUGCGUCCCUCCCGAAGCUGCGUGCUCGGUGGGAGAGGACGACCUUCCCCAAAUAGACGAGGAUCCAUCUUUGGUCGAGGGAUUAUGAGCAGCUACUCUCCCCAGCUAGGACCUCCAAACAAGUUCUCAAAUAAAUAAAAAAUAAAUAUUAGGAAAGAGAUUUGUUAAAAUGUUUAUCUGCACUGUCUUCAGGUCAUA
RNAcentral lists this small nuclear RNA (293 nucleotides) under Jaculus jaculus (lesser Egyptian jerboa). RNAcentral describes it as "7SK RNA (ENSJJAG00000001693.1)". It matches the Rfam family "7SK RNA". Rfam says of the family: 7SK was discovered as an abundant small nuclear RNA in the mid-70s but a possible function has only recently been suggested. Lineage: Eukaryota; Metazoa; Chordata; Mammalia; Rodentia; Dipodidae. The record is from Rfam by way of RNAcentral.